GAUCCUGGCUUAGGAUGAACGCUAGCGAUAGGCCUAACACAUGCAAGUCGAGGGGCAGCAUAGGGUAGCAAUACUUGAUGGCGACCGGCGCACGGGUGAGUAACGCGUAUGCAACCUACCUAUAACAGGGGAAUAACCCGGAGAAAUUCGGACUAAUACCGCAUAAAACAGGGGCUCCGCAUGGAGAUAUUUGUUAAAGAUUUAUCGGUUAUAGAUGGGCAUGCGUUCCAUUAGCCAGUUGGUGAGGUAACGGCUCACCAAAGCAACGAUGGAUAGGGGAACUGAGAGGUUUGUCCCCCACACUGGAACUGAGACACGGACCAGACUCCUACGGGAGGCAGCAGUGAGGAAUAUUGGUCAAUGGGCGAGAGCCUGAACCAGCCAAAUCGCGUGAAGGAAGAACUGCCUUAUGGGUUGUAAACUUCUUUUAUACAGGAAUAAAAAGAGUUACGUGUAACUUAUUGCAUGUACUGUAUGAAUAAGCAUCGGCUAACUCCGUGCCAGCAGCUGC
This 511-nucleotide ribosomal RNA is filed under the name uncultured bacterium. RNAcentral describes it as "bacterial SSU rRNA". It matches the Rfam family "Bacterial small subunit ribosomal RNA", at positions 15 to 518 of the family's 1533-position model. The record is from RNAcentral.